AUGUACCAGGCGAUCCCGUACAGCGCCGGGCGGCUGCCGGCGUGGCCGCGGCGGUCCGAGCCUGCCGAGGUCGUCGGCGCGGCCGGUCAGGAGAGCAGGCGGGCAGGCGACGGCGGGGAGGCGGUGAGGAGGGCGGUGGCGGAGAGCCCGGUGCUGGUGGUGGGGAGGCGCGGGUGCUGCCUCAGCCACGUGGUGGAGCGGCUGCUGCAGGGGCUCGGGGUGAACCCCGCCGUGCACGAGGUCGCCGACGAGGCUGAGCUCGCCGCGGCGGCCGUCGUGGCGCUGCCGGCCGUUUUCGUGGGCGGGAGGCUCCUCGGCGGGCUCGACCGGCUCAUGGCCGUUCACAUCUCCGGCGAGCUCGUGCCCAUACUCAAGGACGCUGGCGCGCUCUGGCUCUGA
RNAcentral lists this ribosomal RNA (399 nucleotides) under Triticum aestivum (bread wheat). Its description in RNAcentral is "partial small subunit ribosomal RNA". The record is from RNAcentral. Lineage: Eukaryota; Viridiplantae; Streptophyta; Magnoliopsida; Poales; Poaceae.